CGGCGGACGGGUGAGUAAUGUAUGGGGAUCUGCCUGAUGGCGGGGGAUAACUACUGGAAACGGUAGCUAAUACCGCAUAAUGUCUACGGACCAAAGCGGGGGACCUCCGGGCCUCGCGCCAUCAGAUGAACCCAUAUGGGAUUAGCUAGUAGGUAAGGUAACGGCUUACCUAGGCGACGAUCCCUAGCUGGUCUGAGAGGAUGACCAGCCACACUGGAACUGAGACACGGCCCAG
RNAcentral lists this ribosomal RNA (235 nucleotides) under uncultured bacterium. RNAcentral describes it as "partial 16S ribosomal RNA". It matches the Rfam family "Bacterial small subunit ribosomal RNA", at positions 96 to 334 of the family's 1533-position model. The record is from RNAcentral.